This 253-nucleotide ribosomal RNA is filed under the name uncultured bacterium. Its description in RNAcentral is "partial 16S ribosomal RNA". It matches the Rfam family "Bacterial small subunit ribosomal RNA", at positions 524 to 776 of the family's 1533-position model. The record is from RNAcentral.
UACGUAGGGUGCAAGCGUUAAUCGGAAUUACUGGGCGUAAAGCGUGCGCAGGCGGUUUUGUAAGUCUGAUGUGAAAUCCCCGGGCUCAACCUGGGAAUUGCAUUGGAGACUGCAAGGCUAGAAUCUGGCAGAGGGGGGUAGAAUUCCACGUGUAGCAGUGAAAUGCGUAGAGAUGUGGAGGAACACCGAUGGCGAAGGCAGCCCCCUGGGUCAAGAUUGACGCCCAUGCACGAAAGCGUGGGGAGCAAACAGG